UGGGGAAUUUUGGACAAUGGGCGAAAGCCUGAUCCAGCAAUGCCGCGUGUGUGAAGAAGGCCUUCGGGUUGUAAAGCACUUUUGUCCGGAAAGAAAUCCUUGGCUCUAAUACAGUCGGGGGAUGACGGUACCGGAAGAAUAAGCACCGGCUAACUACGUGCCAGCAGCCGCGGUAAUACGUAGGGUGCAAGCGUUAAUCGGAAUUACUGGGCGUAAAGCGUGCGCAGGCGGUUUGCUAAGACCGAUGUGAAAUCCCCGGGCUCAACCUGGGAACUGCAUUGGUGACUGGCAGGCUAGAGUAUGGCAGAGGGGGGUAGAAUUCCACGUGUAGCAGUGAAAUGCGUAGAGAUGUGGAGGAAUACCGAUGGCGAAGGCAGCCCCCAUGGGCCAAUACUGACGCUCAUGCACGAAAGCGUGGGGAGCAAACAGGAUUAGAUACCCUGGUAGUCCACGCCCUAAACGAUGUCAACUAGUUGUUGGGGAUUCAUUUCCUAGUAACGUAGCUAACGCGUG
RNAcentral lists this ribosomal RNA (513 nucleotides) under uncultured bacterium. RNAcentral describes it as "partial 16S ribosomal RNA". It matches the Rfam family "Bacterial small subunit ribosomal RNA", at positions 355 to 861 of the family's 1533-position model. The record is from RNAcentral.